UCCCUAGUGGUCUAGUGGUUAAGACUGUGUACUUUCACUGCUGAGGACCCAGGUUCGUCCCUGGUCUGGGAA
RNAcentral lists this transfer RNA (72 nucleotides) under Capra hircus (goat). It matches the Rfam family "tRNA". From Rfam's summary of the family: Transfer RNA (tRNA) molecules are approximately 80 nucleotides in length. Their secondary structure includes four short double-helical elements and three loops (D, anti-codon, and T loops). The record is from Rfam by way of RNAcentral. Lineage: Eukaryota; Metazoa; Chordata; Mammalia; Artiodactyla; Bovidae. RNAcentral also lists the same sequence under 1 other name.